AUGGAGCGGGGUCCAUCCAAAGUAGACUGCGGGUGCUUCAACCCCUUGCUCUUUUGCAUGCGGAAUCCCUCCCAUGCCCGUGACAUCGGCACCCGCAUCAAGGCGCUCAACAAGAGGCUUGACACCAUCAAGGAGCGAAGCGCUGCUUUUAGCUUCAUCAAUCUUGGUUCCUAUGAGGAUCGUAGCAUCAAUGUGCACGCCCCUCGUUCUAGUGAUGCCGGGCGUGAGACAUCAGGGGAGUUCGACCGGCAGGGUGUAGUCGGGGAGAAGAUCAAAGAAGACACAAGAAAACUGGUUGAGAUGAUGCUUUCUGAAAAAAAGCAACAACAACAUCAUGGUGUUCGCUGUUGUUGGUGUCGGUGGGAUCGGUAA
This 372-nucleotide ribosomal RNA is filed under the name Triticum aestivum (bread wheat). RNAcentral describes it as "partial small subunit ribosomal RNA". The record is from RNAcentral. Lineage: Eukaryota; Viridiplantae; Streptophyta; Magnoliopsida; Poales; Poaceae.